RNAcentral lists this ribosomal RNA (460 nucleotides) under uncultured bacterium. Its description in RNAcentral is "partial 16S ribosomal RNA". It matches the Rfam family "Bacterial small subunit ribosomal RNA", at positions 338 to 795 of the family's 1533-position model. The record is from RNAcentral.
CCUACGGGUGGCAGCAGUGAGGAAUAUUUGUCAAUGGGCGCGAGCCUGAACCAGCCAAGUAGCGUGAAGGAUGACUGCCCUACGGGUUGUAAACUUCUUUUAUAAAGGAAUCAAGUGAGGCAAGUGUGCCUUUUUGUAUGUACUUUAUGAAUAAGGAUCGGCUAACUCCGUGCCAGCAGCCGCGGUAAUACGGAGGAUCCGUGCGUUAUCCGGAUUUAUUGGGUUUAAAGUGCGCGUAGGUGGGUUGUUAAGUCAGUUGUGAAAGUUUGCGGCUCAACCGUAAAAUUGCAAUUGAUACUGGCAGCCUUGAGUACAGUUGGGGUAGGCGGAAUUCGUGGUGUAGCAGUGAAAUGCUUAGAUAUCACGAAGAACUCCGAUUGCGAAGGCAGCUUACUAAACUGCCACUGACAUUGAUGCUCGAAAGUGUGGGUAUCAAACAGGAUUAGAUACCCCUGUAGUC